This 468-nucleotide ribosomal RNA is filed under the name uncultured bacterium. RNAcentral describes it as "partial 16S ribosomal RNA". It matches the Rfam family "Bacterial small subunit ribosomal RNA", at positions 28 to 507 of the family's 1533-position model. The record is from RNAcentral.
GACGAACGCUGGCGGCGUGCUUAACACAUGCAAGUCGAACGGAAAGGCCCUGCUUUUGUGGGGUGCUCGAGUGGCGAACGGGUGAGUAACACGUGAGUAACCUGCCCUUGACUUUGGGAUAACUUCAGGAAACUGGGGCUAAUACCGGAUAGGAGCUCCUGCUGCAUGGUGGGGGUUGGAAAGUUUCGGCGGUUGGGGAUGGACUCGCGGCUUAUCAGCUUGUUGGUGGGGUAGUGGCUUACCAAGGCUUUGACGGGUAGCCGGCCUGAGAGGGUGACCGGCCACAAUGGGAAUGAGAUUCCGCCCAGACUCCUACGGGAGGCAGGAGUGGGGAAUAAUGCAAAAUGGGCGGAAGGCUUAUGCAGGCAAGCCGCGUGCGGGAUGACGGCCCUCGGGUUGGAAACCGCUUUUGCCUGGGACGAAGCGUUAGUGACGGUAAUGGGUAAAGAAGCACCGGCUAACUACGUG